CUUGGGAAGGCCCCUAGCAAGGUGCAGGGCUGUCUGCUCUCCAGAGGGCUCCAGUGGAAAGGAGGGAAUGAAGAGGGAAGGAGAGGCCCUGGGUGGGCCAGACAACCACACCGUGAACCCUCCUGGACUUUAGACAGAGAGAGGCGCUCCACACACCCCACUCUCCCUCUGCCGUCUCUCACCCCCUCCCCUGUCCACACAGGUCAGCCCAAGGCCACCCCCUCGGUCACUCUGUUCCUGCCAUCCUUUGAGGAGCUCCAAGCCAACAAGGCCACGCUGGUGUGUCUCAUGAGUGGCUUCUAUCCGGGAAUCUUAACGGUGACCUGGAGGGCAGAUGGUACCCCCAUCACCCAGGGCGUGGAGAUGACCACACCCUCCAAACAGAGCAAGAAGUACACAGCCAGCAGCUACCUGAGCCUGACGCCCGAGCAGUGGAGGUCCCGCAGAAGCUACAGCUGCCAGGUCACACAUGAAGGGAGCACCGUGGAGAAGACAGUGGACCUUGCAGAAUGUUCGUAGAUUCCCAACCCUCACCCCAGCCACAGGGGCCUGGAGCUGCAGGAUCCCAGGGGAGGGGUCUCUCUGCAUUCCCAAGCCAGCCAGCCUUUCUCCCUGUACCCAGUAAACCCUCAAUAAAUAUUGUCUUGGUCAACCAGAAA
Piliocolobus tephrosceles (Ugandan red Colobus) is the source of this 659-nucleotide non-coding RNA. Lineage: Eukaryota; Metazoa; Chordata; Mammalia; Primates; Cercopithecidae. The record is from the annotation of a RefSeq genome assembly.